GGAGAAACUGCAAUGAGAUCCUAAUGGAACGUCUCCUGUCCUUUAAUGAACCUAAAACAUUCUGUUCACCACCUCACCGAUUCUCCUCAAAUUUAAUCUAGUGUGCUUUCCAUUAGCACAUGGUGGGAUUUAUAAUCACUGCAUGCAUAUUUUGUUCCUUCUCCUUUCUACAGACCAUUUUUCUAAUGUACUUUUGGGUGAAGGGUCGGAUCUCAGCAGAGAAACUGUUUAACCGUUUAUAACUCCCUCUUUUUGCCUAUUCAUUGACCCUGACAUCGCAGUGUACUGAUCAGCAGAACUCAGUGGACCAAUUGUUGCACUUUGACCAUUCAGACUCGUUAUACAGAUGUUAAGUGAUGCUCCGGCCAAAUAUCAAAAUUACCCCAUGAUCCUUUACAGAAGUAAUCCACAUGUUUUCAGGGGGUUAAUAAAGGUCUUCUGUGGGUAAUCGAUUAGAUUUUGUAAGAAAAAGAUCCAUAUUUUAAACACUAUAAUAGCUUACGGUAACAAAUUGCUAUCAUGGACUCACGCGAUUCACGGAUUCACUGCGCAACGUACCCAUGGCAACGAACGUUCACUACGCUAAAACUCUCUCUCGUGAAUCGCGGAAACCGUAAACAUGGCAUGUGAUAUGACUGCAAGCGCAGUGGGCUGACAGAUGCUGGUUCACGAGGUUUAUAUGAAGGGCAUGAGGCGCAAAGCCCCAUAGAUGACGACAUGAUAACUGAUUCUGAGUGAUGACAUCACACCAGCUAAUUUGUAAAAGUGUCUUGCACCCAAAUGGAGGUUUGGAAAGGAAAAAGUGUCUCACACCAGGAAUGAAAGAUGAAAUGGUGAUAGGUUUCUUCACCUAAAGGAAAAUGACAGGUACAUGCGGCCACCUUUUUGGCUUCCCAGACGUGACACUGUCUUCUCCACUGAAAUAAAGCCAUGCCAGACAGACAUGGGAGACGGAAAGCAUUUGGCGGACACUUUCAUCCAUACUUAUAGUGCAUUCAAGAUAUCUGAAGGGCAAACUGAGAUACAGUCUCUCGGGAUUAAGUCAUCCUUUGCCUCCAGAAACAGAAAAACAUUGGUGACACUGAGAAAAAUCAACAAGAUAUGGAAACAAUUAGGUGUUGAGACCUUGACUCCUAACACAGUGUUUGACUGCAUGGUUAGGGUGACCAUAUUUUCCCUGGACACAUCAUGGUCAG
This is a long non-coding RNA of Misgurnus anguillicaudatus (oriental weatherfish), 1196 nucleotides long. RefSeq lists it as uncharacterized. Lineage: Eukaryota; Metazoa; Chordata; Actinopteri; Cypriniformes; Cobitidae. The record is from RefSeq and is a predicted model, not a curated record.